GCCAGGCACGGUGGCGCAAGCCUUUAAUCUCAGUGACUCCAGAGGCUGAGACAGGAGAAUUGCGAGUUCAAAGCCAGCCUCAGCAGUGGCAAGGCACUAUGCAACUCAGUGAGACCCUGUCUCUA
RNAcentral lists this small RNA (125 nucleotides) under Marmota monax (woodchuck). Lineage: Eukaryota; Metazoa; Chordata; Mammalia; Rodentia; Sciuridae. The record is from RNAcentral.